This 465-nucleotide ribosomal RNA is filed under the name uncultured bacterium. RNAcentral describes it as "partial 16S ribosomal RNA". It matches the Rfam family "Bacterial small subunit ribosomal RNA", at positions 28 to 507 of the family's 1533-position model. The record is from RNAcentral.
GACGAACGCUGGCGGCGUGCUUAACACAUGCAAGUCGAACGGAAAGGCCCUGCUUGCAGGGUACUCGAUUGGCGAACGGGUGAGUAACACGUGGGUGAUCUGCCCUGCACUUCGGGAUAAGCCUGGGAAACUGGGUCUAAUACCGGAUAGGAGCCCUUUUUAGUGUGAUGGUUGGAAAGUUUUUUCGGUGUAGGAUGAGCUCGCGGCCUAUCAGCUUGUUGGUGGGGUAAUGGCCUACCAAGGCGGCGACGGGUAGCCGGCCUGAGAGGGUGGACGGCCACAUUGGGACUGAGAUAAGGCCCAGACUCCGACGGGAGGCAGCAGUGGGGAAUAUUGCACAAUGGGCGCAAGCCUGAUGCAGCGACGCCGCGUGGGGGAUGACGGCCUUCGGGUUGUAAACUCCUUUAGCUAGGGACGAAGCUUUUUGUGACGGUACCUAGAUAAGAAGCACCGGCUAACUACGUG